UACGGAGGGUGCGAGCGUUGUCCGGAAUUACUGGGCGUAAAGCGUGCGUAGGCGGUUCGUUAAGUCAGCUGUGAAAGCCCCGGGCUCAACCUGGGAAUGGCAAUGGAAACUGGCGGGCUGGAGUAUGGCAGAGGGGGGUGGAAUUCCGCGUGUAGCAGUGAAAUGCGUAGAGAUGCGGAGGAACACCGAUGGCGAAGGCAGCCCCCUGGGCCAAUACUGACGCUCAGGCACGAAAGCGUGGGGAGCAAACAGG
RNAcentral lists this ribosomal RNA (253 nucleotides) under uncultured bacterium. RNAcentral describes it as "partial 16S ribosomal RNA". It matches the Rfam family "Bacterial small subunit ribosomal RNA", at positions 524 to 776 of the family's 1533-position model. The record is from RNAcentral.